UGAAAUGUGCUAAAUGCAAUCAAUUCCGAGC
Molecule: non-coding RNA, 31 nt
Filed under: Mus musculus (house mouse)
Lineage: Eukaryota; Metazoa; Chordata; Mammalia; Rodentia; Muridae
Source: RNAcentral